RNAcentral lists this ribosomal RNA (2489 nucleotides) under Escherichia coli. RNAcentral's name for it is "partial 23S ribosomal RNA". It matches the Rfam family "Bacterial large subunit ribosomal RNA", at positions 397 to 2864 of the family's 2925-position model. The record is from RNAcentral. Lineage: Bacteria; Pseudomonadati; Pseudomonadota; Gammaproteobacteria; Enterobacterales; Enterobacteriaceae.
CUGUGAGCUCGAUGAGUAGGGCGGGACACGUGGUAUCCUGUCUGAAUAUGGGGGGACCAUCCUCCAAGGCUAAAUACUCCUGACUGACCGAUAGUGAACCAGUACCGUGAGGGAAAGGCGAAAAGAACCCCGGCGAGGGGAGUGAAAAAGAACCUGAAACCGUGUACGUACAAGCAGUGGGAGCACAGAGCAAUCUGUGUGACUGCGUACCUUUUGUAUAAUGGGUCAGCGACUUAUAUUCUGUAGCAAGGUUAACCGAAUAGGGGAGCCGAAGGGAAACCGAGUCUUAACUGGGCGUUAAGUUGCAGGGUAUAGACCCGAAACCCGGUGAUCUAGCCAUGGGCAGGUUGAAGGUUGGGUAACACUAACUGGAGGACCGAACCGACUAAUGUUGAAAAAUUAGCGGAUGACUUGUGGCUGGGGGUGAAAGGCCAAUCAAACCGGGAGAUAGCUGGUUCUCCCCGAAAGCUAUUUAGGUAGCGCCUCGUGAAUUCAUCUCCGGGGGUAGAGCACUGUUUCGGCAAGGGGGUCAUCCCGACUUACCAACCCGAUGCAAACUGCGAAUACCGGAGAAUGUUAUCACGGGAGACACACGGCGGGUGCUAACGUCCGUCGUGAAGAGGGAAACAACCCAGACCGCCAGCUAAGGUCCCAAAGUCAUGGUUAAGUGGGAAACGAUGUGGGAAGGCCCAGACAGCCAGGAUGUUGGCUUAGAAGCAGCCAUCAUUUAAAGAAAGCGUAAUAGCUCACUGGUCGAGUCGGCCUGCGCGGAAGAUGUAACGGGGCUAAACCAUGCACCGAAGCUGCGGCAGCGACACUUAUGUGUUGUUGGGUAGGGGAGCGUUCUGUAAGCCUGUGAAGGUGUACUGUGAGGUAUGCUGGAGGUAUCAGAAGUGCGAAUGCUGACAUAAGUAACGAUAAAGCGGGUGAAAAGCCCGCUCGCCGGAAGACCAAGGGUUCCUGUCCAACGUUAAUCGGGGCAGGGUGAGUCGACCCCUAAGGCGAGGCCGAAAGGCGUAGUCGAUGGGAAACAGGUUAAUAUUCCUGUACUUGGUGUUACUGCGAAGGGGGGACGGAGAAGGCUAUGUUGGCCGGGCGACGGUUGUCCCGGUUUAAGCGUGUAGGCUGGUUUUCCAGGCAAAUCCGGAAAAUCAAGGCUGAGGCGUGAUGACGAGGCACUACGGUGCUGAAGCAACAAAUGCCCUGCUUCCAGGAAAAGCCUCUAAGCAUCAGGUAACAUCAAAUCGUACCCCAAACCGACACAGGUGGUCAGGUAGAGAAUACCAAGGCGCUUGAGAGAACUCGGGUGAAGGAACUAGGCAAAAUGGUGCCGUAACUUCGGGAGAAGGCACGCUGAUAUGUAGGUGAAGUCCCUCGCGGAUGGAGCUGAAAUCAGUCGAAGAUACCAGCUGGCUGCAACUGUUUAUUAAAAACACAGCACUGUGCAAACACGAAAGUGGACGUAUACGGUGUGACGCCUGCCCGGUGCCGGAAGGUUAAUUGAUGGGGUCAGCGCAAGCGAAGCUCUUGAUCGAAGCCCCGGUAAACGGCGGCCGUAACUAUAACGGUCCUAAGGUAGCGAAAUUCCUUGUCGGGUAAGUUCCGACCUGCACGAAUGGCGUAAUGAUGGCCAGGCUGUCUCCACCCGAGACUCAGUGAAAUUGAACUCGCUGUGAAGAUGCAGUGUACCCGCGGCAAGACGGAAAGACCCCGUGAACCUUUACUAUAGCUUGACACUGAACAUUGAGCCUUGAUGUGUAGGAUAGGUGGGAGGCUUUGAAGUGUGGACGCCAGUCUGCAUGGAGCCGACCUUGAAAUACCACCCUUUAAUGUUUGAUGUUCUAACGUUGACCCGUAAUCCGGGUUGCGGACAGUGUCUGGUGGGUAGUUUGACUGGGGCGGUCUCCUCCUAAAGAGUAACGGAGGAGCACGAAGGUUGGCUAAUCCUGGUCGGACAUCAGGAGGUUAGUGCAAUGGCAUAAGCCAGCUUGACUGCGAGCGUGACGGCGCGAGCAGGUGCGAAAGCAGGUCAUAGUGAUCCGGUGGUUCUGAAUGGAAGGGCCAUCGCUCAACGGAUAAAAGGUACUCCGGGGAUAACAGGCUGAUACCGCCCAAGAGUUCAUAUCGACGGCGGUGUUUGGCACCUCGAUGUCGGCUCAUCACAUCCUGGGGCUGAAGUAGGUCCCAAGGGUAUGGCUGUUCGCCAUUUAAAGUGGUACGCGAGCUGGGUUUAGAACGUCGUGAGACAGUUCGGUCCCUAUCUGCCGUGGGCGCUGGAGAACUGAGGGGGGCUGCUCCUAGUACGAGAGGACCGGAGUGGACGCAUCACUGGUGUUCGGGUUGUCAUGCCAAUGGCACUGCCCGGUAGCUAAAUGCGGAAGAGAUAAGUGCUGAAAGCAUCUAAGCACGAAACUUGCCCCGAGAUGAGUUCUCCCUGACUCCUUGAGAGUCCUGAAGGAACGUUGAAGACGACGACGUUGAUAGGCCGG